This 78-nucleotide transfer RNA is filed under the name Candidatus Peribacteria bacterium. Its description in RNAcentral is "tRNA-Arg". It matches the Rfam family "tRNA". Rfam says of the family: Transfer RNA (tRNA) molecules are approximately 80 nucleotides in length. The record is from RNAcentral. Lineage: Bacteria; Candidatus Peregrinibacteriota; Candidatus Peribacteria.
GCUCCCGUAGCUCAGUUGGAAGAGCACUAGGCCGCGAACCUAGGUUUGCCGUGGGUUCGAAUCCUGCCGGGAGCACCA